GAGAUGCUUCUCCCCCCCCCCCCCUCCCCACCUCCAGCUCCCGACCGGGUCCGUGAACCUCGCCGGUAAAGAUGUACGAAGAAGAAUUCUGAGUAGGUUAAAAAGCCUCUUUUUCAAUCAAUGCUCAGGGAAAGGAUAAGAUGAUGUGACACAAAUGUAUGAUCGUGUGCCACAAAUAGAACAUUGUGGGAAGCUUUCCCUUAAACAUAUGCUUUGUCCUAUAUUUUUUCAAACAGUUUAUUUCCUUGCUGUGUAGGUCAUUCUUAACAUUAGGCUAAAUUUAGCCAAAGUACACCAGCAGCAAAGACAGCCUGUCUCAGAAAGCUGAAUUAGACCCACAGCUUCAGCUGCAUGGCCUGGUCAGGAGGCUGGACGUGAAAUUACUUACAUUUUUAUCUGGUUUUUUUUUCUUUUUUAUUUUCCAAGGAAUUAAAGGUAACAAAACCUCAGGCAUUUAAGAAAAAAAAAAUGGUUUCUAGAAAAUUAAAAGUUUACAGGAUAGUUUGCCUGGUAUUUUCUCAUGCUGCAACCCGUGUAUACAGCUUGCAUUCAUUUCAAGGGUAUUUUUACCACAAAGUGAGGGAAGACUACAGCCCUAACAUCUUUAGGUGUUUUGAAGAUCUGUACCUGCAGCUUCAAAACAGUGGUCUAAUCUCCGCUUCCAGUAAGGACAGCAGAAUUUGUGCUUGUUUAUGCACUUUGAUUUUCAGUUCUUUGUGUAUAAUUUUAGCUGUGGGUGGAGUAUCCUGAGCCAGAUUUCUCCCUAUGUGCUAUACAUACAGAAUGACAGAAAGACAUACACGAUUCUGUGCUAGAUUGACAGUGAAUUACAUUUGCUAGCAAAUACUGGAUCAGAGCCAUCUGUUUCAGAAAUUAGCAUAGCAGGGAUUUGUUUGUUUGGCUUCAUCUGUCUAUUAGUUUGGUCAAAAUCCUCUUGUUUUAGAGACACACUAUCACAGAGAGGACCUGUGAUAUACUUUGUGCAGGCAGCCCCUGAAAUACAUAAAUUACACUGAAAAGUGGAGAUAAAAUGUGAUUGUCAGAAAUCCAGAGAAGGCUAAAUUCAGAUAUUUCUUUUUUUCCUGAAUGCAAGUUUGAUGUCCUCAGUGCAUGCUGUGUUAAAGAUCAUCUACCCCGAAACAGUGUGCUGAUAGAGAACUACUUCUUGCUGUACCAAAGUAGUGUUGCUGAACUUGUAGGUGCACUGUAUCUGUGUGUUGAGAGAAUUGCAGGAAUCCCUCUUGACUUACAGCCUCUACAGCUUUCCUUUGAAGAGGUAUUGAUAUUUCUAAAAAUUGAGAAGUCUAGCUCCAAACAACAGUGAAGAAAAGGGCAUCAAGCCAUUAAAUGAUAAGUAUCUCUUCUGUAAAAUAUCAAAUAGAAAACCAUCUGGAUCCAGAAGAGAAAGGUUUCAUGGUACAACAAAAUUCUUAUCCACUUUCACAUGGGUACGUGUGCAAGGAAGGAAAAAUAUUUGCAGAAGUACAUCAUUCCACCAGUGCAAAGAAGAUAAGCAAGAAGAGAGUGAAUAAAGCAGAAUUUUCUUUGUUACAGAGACUGCAUUUGAAGGGAUUGUAACAGCAGGUACAGCGCUGCCAAGUAGAUACAACCCUGGAUGUGCUGUAGAAGGUGGAGGCUUUCCCAAGGGUAACCUGGAGGAAUCUGGAGGGGUCAGGUGAACCCACGCUGUCACCCAUUGAAGAAGCUCUGAGGAAACUCUGCAAGAUGGAUUGGUCACUGAAUUUGUAGCUACAUGGAUGUGUCUGUACCUGCCAUUUAAAUUGCAUUAUUUCAACUAAUAUGUAUCUAUAAAAAUAUCCCUAUUACUUGUAAAUGAGCUUUUUUAAAAGUACAUUUUGAAAUAAUACAUGGUCAAUGCAAGUUCCUUGGAAACUGCUACAGGGGA
Molecule: long non-coding RNA, 1906 nt
Organism: Pezoporus occidentalis (night parrot)
Lineage: Eukaryota; Metazoa; Chordata; Aves; Psittaciformes; Psittacidae
Exons: 3
Source: RefSeq, a predicted model, not a curated record